AGACCUGACGCGCCAAAUCCUGUCCAGCAGGUCCCCGGAUACGACCCCGAGCGGAAAGACAACUUCUGGACAGGAGCGUGAGAGCACUCCGGGCGUCCCGAAACGCCCUAGGGGUGAAGCCGGUCCCGACCGGCCGGGCACUCCCCGACAGAGCCCGAACCCGACAGCUCACUCGCAGGUGCGGUAGGAGAGAGAGA
This 197-nucleotide small RNA is filed under the name Allokutzneria albata. Its description in RNAcentral is "c-di-AMP sequence". It matches the Rfam family "c-di-AMP riboswitch aptamer (ydaO/yuaA leader)". Rfam says of the family: This family represents a conserved RNA structure found upstream of the ydaO and yuaA genes in Bacillus subtilis and related genes in other bacteria. Lineage: Bacteria; Bacillati; Actinomycetota; Actinomycetes; Pseudonocardiales; Pseudonocardiaceae. The record is from Rfam by way of RNAcentral.